This is a long non-coding RNA of Sphaerodactylus townsendi, 343 nucleotides long. RefSeq lists it as uncharacterized. The transcript has 3 exons. The record is from RefSeq and is a predicted model, not a curated record. Lineage: Eukaryota; Metazoa; Chordata; Lepidosauria; Squamata; Sphaerodactylidae.
CUUCUGGAUUGCUCAAGUGACUCUCGGCUGCAGCCUCAUCUGUAAGAAGGAACAGGUUUGAAGGAGGUCCCGUCAUUCAUACAAAACCAUGGUGUCAGUCCCGGUGGCAGCAGUGACCCUGCUGGUCUUCCUGGGAUCCUUUGCCACAGCACAAGAUGUGUCCCUAGACAGAGAUUGGAGAGACUGGAAGGAGGCUCAUGGUAGAGAAUACAAAAAGAAGGGGGAAGAGGAAUACCGAAGGAGCAUCUGGGAAUCAAAUGUACAUGUGAUCAGACGUCAUAACCAGGAGGCAUCCCAGGGGAAACACACAUAUCGGCUGGAGAUGAACCAAUUUGGUGACCUU